UCCCUGUAGGGUCUGGUCCCCUGUGGGGUCUGAUCCCCUUCGCUGUUCUCCCAGCGCUCAGGCUGCCCAACAAGGGUGCUGGCCAUACGUGAAAUGGGGAUUCAGAGCGGCUGCAAGGAAGGUCAUCUGAAACUGAAGUGCUGGCUUCUUAACCAUUGUUUUGGGGAUCAAGCAAUGAAAAAUAUAAACUCAAGAAUAUUGAAAUUAAGCACCAACGAAUUAAGCAGGGGAAAGGUGGGUCCUACGUCAGUCCCCCAAGAGAUGCUGCUAAAAUCAUAAAGAGAGUUUGCCCAAUGAAAGAUUUGCUACCG
Long non-coding RNA from Anas platyrhynchos (mallard), 311 nucleotides. RefSeq lists it as uncharacterized. The record is from RefSeq and is a predicted model, not a curated record. Lineage: Eukaryota; Metazoa; Chordata; Aves; Anseriformes; Anatidae.